AUGAGGAAAGAAGGAAGGAAAGAAAGAGGAAAAGAAAGAAAGAAGGGACAAAGGAAGGAAGGAAGGAAGGAAGGAAGGAAGGAAGGAAGGAAGGAAGGAAGGGAGGGAGGAGUCCCUCAAGCCUGCAGGAAGGGCCCCUGCCUCUCACCUGGCCUUCGCCCCAGCCGAGGAGGAGGAGGAGGCAGAGGAGGGGGCUGCUGCUGCUGGUACCGCUUGCUGGCUUGGCUCCCCCGCCUCCCUCCUUCCUUGCCUUGGAGAGGACGGAGAAGCGCACCAUGGACCAGCGGCGCCAUCCCACCUUCGGGGCAGAAGGGAAGGCGAAGGUGGCGGGGAAGCAGGCAUUGUGGCCAGGUGGGGGCAGGCACCGGUCAGGCAGGAGCAGGCAUCACGGCCAGGUGACAGCCGCAUUGACGAAAAACAACAGGAAAAACUCAGCCGCUAUCAGGACCUCAAGAUUGAACUUCAAAGACUCUGGCAGAAACCAGUGCAGGUGGUCCCGGUGGUGAUGGGCACACUGGGUGCCGUGCAAAAAGAUCUCAGCCGGCAUUUGGAAACAAUAGACAUUGACAAAAUUACGAUCUGUCAACUGCAAAAGGCCACCCUGCUGGGAUCUGCGCACAUCAUCCGAAAAUACAUCACAAAGUCCUAGACACUUGGGAAGUGUUCAACUUGUGAUUUUGUGAAACGAAAUCCAGCAUAUCUACCUUGUUUGCUGUGUCAUACAAUAAAAUAAUAUUUAUUAUUUAUUUAUAGUCCUAUCUCCCCAGGGGGACUCAGCGAAUUCCAACAUACAAAAAGGAAAACAUUCAAUUCAAUACCUUAAUAAAAAAAAUGUGAUCAGAAUUAUGGUAAAUUCUGGUAAAAACUGAAAUAAACCAAAACAUGCAAAUGUCCAUGUCAAUAAGUAAAGCUACUGUCGAUAUUAAGAAGACUGUGAUUUAACCUUUGGCUGUUGACGUUCAUUCAGCACCAGUAGAUGGAAUACAGAAGUGUUCCCUUUUUAAGAGUUAAAUUUCCAAAGCCCUAGACUUACCUCACAGCCUCCUGCAGACUGCACAGGUUCAUUUCUGCCUGAACAGUAUGUCAAAUCCUGUUUCCUUUUCUGUUUUGGCCAUUGGGGACUCUGGGAGGGAGAAAAGUGUAAACCUUUUGCGGUUCAGCCUGCAUGAAUACACUUUCACCAUUACGGCCGAAACCACAAGAUGCAGGGACUUGGAGGCUUUUGUGACUCUAGAUGCAUCACAGUUAUUUCCCUGUAUCAUUAUCACCAUUAUCAUCAUAUCAUCUUUGCCUUAGAAAUAACAGAGUUUUAAAACUAGCAUAACUUUUCUGUGCCUUCUGGUUGGCCUAAUAAAAGUACCAGCUACAGGAAACAGUGAGACUCAAGAUAUGCCUGUUCACCUGAUCUGAAGGUUGCAGCUUUCAUUUGCCAAAUAGUCUUUCUACCAGCAGAGCCUUUCUUUGACAUAAACCCCUUUUAGCCUUAUGAAUGCAUUAGAAGAAAUGUGGACAAAAAUGCAUACUUGAGUGUAUGUCAGUUUCUGAUUUAGUGGUAGGCAAUCUCAAAUUGUUUUUAGAAUGUAAAUCUCAUGAUCCCUCACCAUUGGCUAUGUUAUAAUGAGGACUGUAGGUACAAAAAAAUUGAAGGUCAUGAAGUUGACCAAGUCAGCAAAGCAUGGUUCUAUAUUCUGUCAGUUUUGCUUCUUCCACGUUCAUUUCUUUCUUCACCAAAAGUUCUUUCUGAAGUUUGGAGCAUACUUAUUUUUUAAAAAGAAAAAUUCUCACUCAUAUCUCAUGUCAUUACAUACAUACAGUAUUUGUCAGUUUGAAAGGUCACAACAGUAGUGUUGUUUGUAUUGAAUGUGUUUAUUGCAUUUUAAUUGUAUUGAAUGUUUUUAAUAUGCAAGAUGUAUGCAACAAUUAGUUCAGGUAGUACUUUAAUAUUGUUGCACUUUUAUAUCAUAUCUAUUUAUUUUGUAUGUGAAUGGCUUAUAGUCUAGCAUUAAUAAACUACCUACCUACCUACUCACAAGACUCUUGUCUUUGCCACACAGCUAUCGUGGGAGACGAGAAAUAAUUUAAAAAGUGCAGACUGUAAUGUGUUCUUUACACUGAUAGAUUUCUCUUUAUCUUUAUUGCAGCCCCCAUAUGAGAGCUCUAUGAUUGAGGAAAUUAGAUGGUACAGUCAGGAGACUGGAAACCAGGCACCACAUCUAUGGAGGUGACAAUUAUAUAUUUUGCAGUAACAACUUGCAAAAUUGCUGGCUCUUAAAAGAAAGAGGAGGCUGUUGUGAUUGCAAAUGGAGUACUUUAAAUACUGAAGAAAGGCACAAUAUAUUACAGAUUAUAAGUAUUACUUGCAUUACAGGAACUAAACACCGAAUAGAUUUCUCUCUUUCUCCUUCUCUUUGCGGAGUCAGAAGAACGGUUCUAGUUAAACCUGAAACAAAGAGUUUCUGACACCAAUGCUUUAUUUUGAAGCACCUUGACCUCUGAAGUAGACGACCUUGAGUUAUCUCCAAAAAUGCAUAAAACUUAAGCUUUUCUUUUUUGGUAACCCUCAUCAUUUUGGUGUUCUAUUCAUUGCUUUUCUUCUGGAAAUUGUCAAAUGGAAAUAAAACAUAAUCCUAAGAAGUUUUUGAAAAACAAUGACCUGAAGUCUUAGAAUAACAAAUUCUGGCGGAGUUUUUGUGUGCAUCAGGAGUUAUAAUUGUAAAAUGUAUGGUGGUAUGCAUUUCUAACAGACACCUUGCUGGAAAGCAGGAAGUAGCAAGAUCACAGAUAUCGAGUAUGUGCCCUACCUAACGGUGCAUCCAUACUGUAGAAUUAAUGCAGUUUGACACCACUUUAACUGCAACUGCUCAAUGCUAUAGAAUGCUGGUUAUUGUACUCUAACAUUGGAUUUGGCUUUCUGGGUCAGAUGGUGCUGAUGUCUCAUCAAACUACAGUGCCUAUGAUUUUAUAGAAUUCAGUCUUAGGCUAUUUAGGCACCCCAUCAUCCUGAUAGUUCUCACAGUAGAUCUAAGAAAUUAUGAUAUGAAGGCAAUAUAGAUUCUAUGGAAACAUGCAUAACACUAUUUGUUCGUAUCAUUUAAUCAUAAUAGUAUACAAAUAAGGAAUUGAAAUGGUACUUUGCUAGCUGGUGAUGAGAGGCCAGUGUGGAGACCCUAAUGAAUAAUUGUAUCAUUUCUAUUGUCUAUUUCCCCCAUAAGCUGAAGGUAGCAUACAAGGUUCACCGUCACAUUAAAGAUCCGUUAAAAUACUAAUUUUUACCUCAAUAUGGGAGCAAAUGGAUGCUUCUGUGCAGUAUUAUUCUCAUAUCUGCACAUUCUGAAAUUUUCUGGUAAACAACCUGUACAAAAAUACUGGUUGAGAAUCCAUUAUCCAAAGUGCUUGGAACCAGAAGUGUAUUGGAUUCAUCCUCCCACAGAUUUUACAUAUGCAUACAUUAUGAGAUAUUUUGGAGAUGGG
This 3471-nucleotide long non-coding RNA is filed under the name Anolis carolinensis (green anole). RNAcentral's name for it is "lncRNA (ENSACAG00000037996.1)". Lineage: Eukaryota; Metazoa; Chordata; Lepidosauria; Squamata; Anolidae. The record is from RNAcentral.